GCUCAGAUUGAACGCUGGCGGCAGGCCUAACACAUGCAAGUCGAGCGGUAGCACAAGAGAGCUUGCUCUCUGGGUGACGAGCGGCGGACGGGUGAGUAAUGUCUGGGAAACUGCCUGAUGGCGGGGGAUAACUAGUGGAAACGGUAGCUAAUACCGCAUAACGUCGCAAGACCAAAGUGGGGGACCUUCGGGCCUCACGCCAUCAGAUGUGCCCAGGUGGGAUUAGCUGGUAGGUGGGGUAACGGCUCACCUAGGCGACGAUCCCUAGCUGGUCUGAGAGGAUGACCAGCCACACUGGAACUGAGACACGGUCCAGACUCCUACGGGAGGCAGCAGUGGGGAAUAUUGCACAAUGGGCGCAAGCCUGAUGCAGCCAUGCCGCGUGUGUGAAGAAGGCCUUCGGGUUGUAAAGCACUUUCAGCGAGGAGGAAGGGUAAUGUGUUAAUAAGACAUUGC
RNAcentral lists this ribosomal RNA (456 nucleotides) under Serratia symbiotica. Its description in RNAcentral is "bacterial SSU rRNA". It matches the Rfam family "Bacterial small subunit ribosomal RNA", at positions 22 to 478 of the family's 1533-position model. The record is from RNAcentral. Lineage: Bacteria; Pseudomonadati; Pseudomonadota; Gammaproteobacteria; Enterobacterales; Yersiniaceae.